AAUGAACGUUGGCGGUAGGUUUUAGGCAUGCAAGUCGAACGAGAGUAUAAAUGAAAUUUAUUUUAUUUGUAGGUCUAGUGGCAAACGAGUGAGUAAUAUAUAAAAACUUGCCCUAUAGUUUGGGAUAAUUAUCUCAAAAGGAUAAGUAAUACCAAAUAAAUUAUUUAUAAAAAAGUUUUAAUAUUGGAAACGAUAUCAUUUCGCUAUAGGAGAGGUUUAUAUCUGAUUAGGUAGUUGGUGGUGGUAAAGGCCCACCAAGCCAAAGAUCAGUAGCUGGUCUGGGAGGAUGAUCAGCCACGCUGGAACUGAGACACGGUCCAGACUUCCAUUUGGAGGGCAGCAGCUAAGAAUAUUGGGCAAUGGGGGACACCCUGACCCAGCCAUACCGCGUGGAGGAUGACGGCCUUAAGGUUGUAAACUCCUUUUAUAAAAGAGAAUUCAAGAUAUGUAUUUUAUGAAUAAGUCCCGGCUAAUCUCGUGCCAGCCGCCGCCGUAACAC
Molecule: ribosomal RNA, 499 nt
Filed under: uncultured bacterium
Lineage: Bacteria
Description: bacterial SSU rRNA
Rfam family: Bacterial small subunit ribosomal RNA
Source: RNAcentral